GAUGAACGCUGACAGAAUGCUUAACACAUGCAAGUCGACUGGAAUUCACCUUCGGGUGAUAGUACGGUGGCGGACGGGUGAGUAACGCGUAAAGAACUUGCCCUCUAGACUGGGACAACUGUUGGAAACGACAGCUAAUACCGGAUAUUAUGGAACCUUCGCAUGGAGGAACUAUGAAAGCUAUAUGCGCUAGAGGAGAGCUUUGCGUGCCAUUAGCUAGUUGGUAGGGUAACGGCCUACCAAGGCGACGAUGGCUAGCCGGCCUGAGAGGGUGAUCGGCCACAAGGGGACUGAGACACGGCCCUUACUCCUACGGGAGGCAGCAGUGGGGAAUAUUGGACAAUGGACCAAAAGUCUGAUCCAGCAAUUCUGUGUGCACGAUGAAGGUUUUCGGAUCGUAAAGUGCUUUCAGCAGGGAAGAAAAAAAAUGACGGUACCUGCAGAAGAAGCGACGGCUAAAUACGUGCCAGCAGCCGCGGU
RNAcentral lists this ribosomal RNA (480 nucleotides) under uncultured bacterium. RNAcentral's name for it is "bacterial SSU rRNA". It matches the Rfam family "Bacterial small subunit ribosomal RNA", at positions 28 to 521 of the family's 1533-position model. The record is from RNAcentral.